This is a long non-coding RNA of Neodiprion fabricii, 488 nucleotides long. RefSeq lists it as uncharacterized. NCBI's taxonomy places the organism in Eukaryota, Metazoa, Arthropoda, Insecta, Hymenoptera, Diprionidae. The transcript is spliced from 4 exons. The record is from RefSeq and is a predicted model, not a curated record.
GCAUCCACAAUCGUUCGUUCGUUCGUUGGUUUGCAAGCGCUGCCUCCGCGGUCGCGAAUUUUUGUCGGUGUCUUCAACUACGCGGUUUUUUACUGUGCGAGUGUGUACCGAGUUUCUCUUGAACUCGACUCCAUUCUUUUGCAAUCUACCGUUGCACCAGAGUCUUACGUUCCGAAAAUUGAUGAUGACCUGAGCUUACGAUAUCAUCGAUAACCGCAUCAUCGCUACUGACAUAAACUCUUCCGCAGCUUCCCGUUAGCCGUCGAUUUCAGAAACGAUGGACGAAUCGGAUCUCAUGGCCUACGAUCUAUGGCGUAUUCCAUUGUUUACGUACACCUCUUGCUUACACUUGGCGCUUAGGCGGAUGCAUCGAAACUCUCAUAUAAUCGUUCGUUGGCUCGAUGAUUUUUACGAGUCAAGAUUGAAACAUCGACACGUUACCACAACGCACUUCGCAGACUUGGGGAAAACAAAAAAUGUGAGUCUUU